GAUGAACGCUAGCGGCAGGCUUAAUACAUGCAAGUUGAGGGGCAGCAUGAUAUACGCGAGUAUAUUGAUGGCGACCGGCGGACGGGUGAGUAAUAGGUAGGAGACCUACCUCAUACAGGGGGAUAGCAUAGAGAAAUCUGUGGUAAUACCCCAUGAGGUUAUAUGAAUAGAGGCAUAUAAUCAAAGCAUAAGCGAUUAUGCGGUAUGAGAGGGGCCUACUGACCAUUAGCUAGUUGGUGAGGUAAGGGCUCACCAAGGCGAAGAUGGUUAGGGGUUUUGAGAGAGAGACCCCCCACAUUGGAACUGAGAGACGGUCCAGACUCCUACGGGAGGCAGCAGUAGGGAAUAUUGGGCAAUGGGCGAAAGCCUGACCCAGCCAUGCCGCGUGAAGGAAGACGGCCUUAUGGGUUGUAAACUUCUUUACUACGCGAAUAGAGGUUAGUACGAGAUACUAAUAGGAAGGUAGUGUAGUAAAAAGCACCGGCUAACUCCGU
Molecule: ribosomal RNA, 494 nt
Filed under: uncultured bacterium
Lineage: Bacteria
Description: bacterial SSU rRNA
Rfam family: Bacterial small subunit ribosomal RNA
Source: RNAcentral